CUCUUGGUGGCGCAGUUGGCAGCGCGAACGACUGUAAUGGGACACAACCUGUCAGAUAUCGUUCGGUCCCCGGUUCGAGUCCGGGCCAGGAGA
Non-coding RNA from Tribonema minus, 93 nucleotides. The record is from the annotation of a GenBank genome assembly. NCBI's taxonomy places the organism in Eukaryota, Xanthophyceae, Tribonematales, Tribonemataceae.